Molecule: ribosomal RNA, 231 nt
Filed under: uncultured Acanthamoeba
Lineage: Eukaryota; Discosea; Longamoebia; Acanthamoebidae
Description: partial 18S ribosomal RNA
Rfam family: Eukaryotic small subunit ribosomal RNA
Source: RNAcentral
CUCAUUAAAUCAGUUAUAGUUUAUUUGAUGGUCUCUUUGUUCUUCUUUUUACCUACUUGGAUAACCGUGGUAAUUCUAGAGCUAAUACAUGCGCAAGGUCCCAAGCGCGGAGAGUAAGGCUUCGCGGCUCUAUUCUUGCAUGCGUAGCGGGAUGUGUUUAUCAGGUUAAAAACCAGCACAUUUAAAUUCCAUACUGGUGAUUCAUAGUAACUCUUUCGGAUCGCAUUCAUG